UUGAGAGUUUGAUCCUGGCUCAGAACGAACGCUGGCGGCAUGCCUAACACAUGCAAGUCGAACGAGCCCUUCGGGGUUAGUGGCGCACGGGUGCGUAACGCGUGGGAAUCUGCCCUUGGGUUCGGAAUAACUCGCCGAAAGGCGUGCUAAUACCGGAUGAUGUCGAAAGACCAAAGAUUUAUCGCCCAAGGAUGAGCCCGCGUAAGAUUAGGUAGUUGGUGAGGUAAAGGCUCACCAAGCCGACGAUCUUUAGCUGGUCUGAGAGGAUGAUCAGCCACACUGGGACUGAGACACGGCCCAGACUCCUACGGGAGGCAGCAGUGGGGAAUAUUGGACAAUGGGCGAAAGCCUGAUCCAGCAAUGCCGCGUGAGUGAUGAAGGCCUUAGGGUUGUAAAGCUCUUUUACCCGGGAUGAUAAUGACAGUACCGGGAGAAUAAGCUCCGGCUAACUCCGUGCCAGCAGCCGCGGUAAUACGGAGGGAGCUAGCGUUGUUCGGAAUUACUGGGCGUAAAGCGCACGUAGGCGGCUUUGUAAGUCAGAGGUGAAAGCCUGGAGCUCAACUCCAGAACUGCCUUUGAGACUGCAUCGCUUGAAUCCAGGAGAGGUGAGUGGAAUUCCGAGUGUAGAGGUGAAAUUCGUAGA
This 643-nucleotide ribosomal RNA is filed under the name uncultured Sphingomonas sp. RNAcentral's name for it is "bacterial SSU rRNA". It matches the Rfam family "Bacterial small subunit ribosomal RNA", at positions 1 to 694 of the family's 1533-position model. The record is from RNAcentral. Lineage: Bacteria; Pseudomonadati; Pseudomonadota; Alphaproteobacteria; Sphingomonadales; Sphingomonadaceae.